This 167-nucleotide small nuclear RNA is filed under the name Salmo salar (Atlantic salmon). Its description in RNAcentral is "U2 spliceosomal RNA (ENSSSAG00000117204.1)". It matches the Rfam family "U2 spliceosomal RNA". Rfam says of the family: U2 is a small nuclear RNA (snRNA) component of the spliceosome (involved in pre-mRNA splicing). Complementary binding between U2 snRNA (in an area lying towards the 5' end but 3' to hairpin I) and the branchpoint sequence (BPS) of the intron results the bulging out of an unpaired adenosine, on the BPS, which initiates a nucleophilic attack at the intronic 5' splice site, thus starting the first of two transesterification reactions that mediate splicing. The record is from RNAcentral. Lineage: Eukaryota; Metazoa; Chordata; Actinopteri; Salmoniformes; Salmonidae.
AUAUAUUUUGUAAAAAAAAAAUCUGUCUUAUCAGUUUAAUAUCUGAUAUCCCCCAUCGGGGGACUACAUAUUAAAUGGUUUUUCGAACAGGAGUCGGAAAUGGGGCUUCUCGUCCGCUCCACGCAUCGACCCGGUAUUGCAGUACCUCCGGGAACGGUGCAACACUU